AAUUUGUGCAAGAGCUUCAUUGAUUCCGGUGUCGCUCUCAUCAAGGGAGGUUUAUUUGACCACGGGAGCCUCGUAAAUGCCAUCAAGGGUGCAGAUGUCGUGAUCUCGGCCGUGGGGACCCCUCAGCUCGACGAGCAGACGAGGAUUGUCAUGGCCAUCAAGGAGGCCGGCAAUGUCAUCAAGAGGUUCCUGCCGUCUGAGUUCGGCUCUGACCCAGAGCGGGUUCACCCCGUGGAUCCAGCGACCACACUUUACGCUGGUAAAAUCAGCCUUCGCCGUCUGAUCGAGGCGGAGGGUAUACCUCAUACAUAUGUCUGCUGGAACGGGUUCGCCGAAACCUACCUUGUGAGCAUCGGCGAUGUUACGGCUGUUGGCACUGGUCCUCCGUCUGACAAGACCACUGUCCUAGGCGAUGGAGAUGCAAAUGGGGUGUUUGUGGUGGAAGAGGACAUAGCUGCCUAUACGGUGAGAGCAAUCGACGAUACGAGGACCCUGAACAAGAUCAUGUACAUGAGGCCGCCGGUGAACAUCGUGUCCCACAACGAGCUCAUCGCACUUUGGGAGAAAAAAGCGGGAAGGACUUUCCAGAUCGCUCGCAUCCCAGAGGCGGAUCUCCUCAAGUUGAUCAAGGGUAGGGUACAUCCAUCAUUGUGCUUUGAGAAUGUACGUAGCUACAACUGUUGCAUCUCUGACCACUCUUAA
RNAcentral lists this ribosomal RNA (702 nucleotides) under Triticum aestivum (bread wheat). Its description in RNAcentral is "partial small subunit ribosomal RNA". The record is from RNAcentral. Lineage: Eukaryota; Viridiplantae; Streptophyta; Magnoliopsida; Poales; Poaceae.